UAAAAAUUGCCUUCGAAAUCCAGAAAAACCUAAAACACUCCCUCACAAACCUAGAAUAAUAUCAAAAAUUCAUUAAAAAUUCAAGAACAUAGCCCACAGAACAAUCAAUAACAGAACAUUAAACACAACAAUAGCAAGAACCUAAAUAUCAAUGGCAACCUAGAUUAAUUUAAACCCAUAAUAGCAAAUUAAAAAAAAAAAAGAAAUUUAGGAAAUGAGUUUUUUCAUCACCAAUCCAUGCUUUUCUAGUCAUCUUUCCACACAUAAAGUCCACGAAAAGAGUUGCCCUAUCAUUUAGACCAUCUUGCAGAAAUGACUUAAAGAAAACUAUGGUGAUAGGCAGUGGCGAUGAUUGUAGAGAGUAAGAGAUGAAAAUGGCGUGUUUGGGGGGAAGGAAAAUGGUGUCCUUUAGGGAAGGGGAGACCAGAAAGAAAAAAGAGGGUGAGGUGUGUGUGUGAGGGGGAGAGAGAGAAUCAGGUUUUGAAUAAUUUGCAAUUUUUGAAACAGUAGGGACCAAAGUGUAUAUUAUGGCAAAACUUAGGGAGUAUUUUUUGUGAUGAACCCUUAUUUAUUUUGUUGGUCUGAAGAAUGUGUCACUGUGUUUGUCUUACUCAAGAAUGCGUUUGCAGGUUUGGGGUAGGGGAGUAUGACUGGAAGGAGUUU
Molecule: unclassified non-coding RNA, 663 nt
Filed under: Hevea brasiliensis (rubber tree)
Lineage: Eukaryota; Viridiplantae; Streptophyta; Magnoliopsida; Malpighiales; Euphorbiaceae
Source: RNAcentral